UCCAGACUCCUACGGGAGGCAGCAGUGGGGAAUACUGCACAAUGGGGGAAACCCUGAUGCAGCGACGCCGCGUGAGCGAUGAAGUAUUUCGGUAUGUAAAGCUCUAUCAGCAGGGAAGAAGAUGACGGUACCUGACUAAGAAGCCCCGGCUAACUACGUGCCAGCAGCCGCGGUAAUACGUAGGGGGCAAGCGUUAUCCGGAUUCACUGGGUGUAAAGGGAGCGUAGACGGCCAUGCAAGCCUGGAGUGAAAGCCCGGGGCCCAACCCCGGGACUGCUCUGGGAACUGUGCGGCUGGAGUGCGGGAGGGGCAGGCGGAAUUCCUGGUGUAGCGGUGAAAUGCGUAGAUAUCAGGAGGAACACCGGCGGCGAAGGCGGCCUGCUGGACCGCGACUGACGCUGAGGCGCGAAAGCGUGGGGAGCAAACAGGAUUAGAUACCCUCGUAGAU
Molecule: ribosomal RNA, 448 nt
Filed under: uncultured bacterium
Lineage: Bacteria
Description: bacterial SSU rRNA
Rfam family: Bacterial small subunit ribosomal RNA
Source: RNAcentral